Terrapene triunguis (Three-toed box turtle) is the source of this 420-nucleotide non-coding RNA. The record is from the annotation of a RefSeq genome assembly. NCBI's taxonomy places the organism in Eukaryota, Metazoa, Chordata, Testudines, Emydidae.
AUGAAAUCUCUGUUGCUUUUCCUUUCCCUGCUCUCCGUCCCCACCUGUGUCCUCUCUCAGGUGCAGCUGGUCCAGUCGGGCCCGGGAACGGUGAAGCCCGGAGAGACCCUCACACUGACCUGCGCUGUCUCGGGUGUAUCCAUCACUGACGGCAGCUACGCUUGGAACUGGAUCCGGCAGCCCUCCGGGAAAGGGCUGGAGUGGAUGGGGUACGUGUACCCAUACAAUAGCGGGGAGACAGGCUACGCCCCGUCUCUCCAAGGCCGAGUCACCAUCUCUGCAGACACUGCCAAGAGCCAGUUCUCCCUGCAGCUCCGCUCGCUGACAGCCGCAGACACCGCCACCUAUUACUGUGCCAGACACACAGUGACACAGAGCAAAGCGGGACUGGCACAAAAAGAGGAAGUUGGUUCUAAGUAG